RNAcentral lists this ribosomal RNA (429 nucleotides) under uncultured bacterium. Its description in RNAcentral is "bacterial SSU rRNA". It matches the Rfam family "Bacterial small subunit ribosomal RNA", at positions 355 to 775 of the family's 1533-position model. The record is from RNAcentral.
UCGAGAGGCUUCGUCAAUGGGGGCAACCCUGAACGAGCGACGCCGCGUGGGUGAUGAAGGCCUUACGGUCGUAAAGCCCUGUCAGAGGGGAAGAAAUGCCGUAAUGAUAAUACCAUUGCGGCUUGACGUUACCCUCAAAGGAAGCUCCGGCUAACUCCGUGCCAGCAGCCGCGGUAACACGGGGGGAGCGAACGUUGUUCGGAAUCACUGGGCGUAAAGGGCGCGCAGGCGGCCUGGUAAGUGGGAUGUGAAAGCCCCUGGCUCAACCAGGGAACUGCAUCCCAGACUGCCGGGCUUGAGGACGGGAGAGGAAACGGGAAUUCCCGGUGUAGCGGUGACAUGCACUGAUAUCGGGAGGAACACCAGUGGCGAAGGCGCGUUUCUGGCCCGCUCCUGACGCUCAGGCGCGAAAGCUGGGGGAGCAAACAG